Pelobates cultripes (western spadefoot toad) is the source of this 222-nucleotide non-coding RNA. The record is from the annotation of a GenBank genome assembly. NCBI's taxonomy places the organism in Eukaryota, Metazoa, Chordata, Amphibia, Anura, Pelobatidae.
GAUACAUGUUCCCUUUUAUCAAGGUUAAAAGGCAUUUGUUUGUAUUUUUUAAACAAGACUGGUCAAACGGAAGCACACUGGCUGUUUUUUCACUACCACUCCCAUCAACCUCAAAGGCUGAGCUUUUCAAGAGUUGUGGUCCAGUAAGAGACUGGAUCGCAGGUCAAAGGUUGACCACCUGUAGUCGACUACCAAGGAUAUAUUCGCUGCAUAACAUUUUGG